Molecule: non-coding RNA, 73 nt
Organism: Potamilus streckersoni
Lineage: Eukaryota; Metazoa; Mollusca; Bivalvia; Unionida; Unionidae
Source: the annotation of a GenBank genome assembly
GCUCCGGUUGCCUAUAGGUAAGAGCGUCCGCCCUAAAUGCGGAAGGUCGUGGGUUCGAUCCCCAGUAGAGGCA